This 253-nucleotide ribosomal RNA is filed under the name uncultured prokaryote. Its description in RNAcentral is "partial 16S ribosomal RNA". It matches the Rfam family "Bacterial small subunit ribosomal RNA", at positions 524 to 776 of the family's 1533-position model. The record is from RNAcentral.
UACAGAGGGUGCGAGCGUUAAUCGGAAUUACUGGGCGUAAAGCGUGCGUAGACGGCUAUCUAAGUCGGGUGUGAAAGCCCCGGGCUCAACCUGGGAAUUGCAUUCGAGACUGAAUAGCUAGGGUACGGUAGAGGGAAGUGGAAUUUCCGGUGUAGCGGUGAAAUGCGUAGAUAUCGGAAGGAACACCAGUGGCGAAGGCGGCUACCUGGACAAAUACUGACGCUGAGGCGCGAGAGCGUGGGGAGCAAACAGU